CCUACGGGUGGCAGCAGUGAGGAAUAUUGGUCAAUGGGCUUACGCCUGAACCAGCCAAGUCGCGUGAGGGAAGACUGCCCUAUGGGUUGUAAACCUCUUUUGUCAGGGAGCAAGGGCGGGGACGUGUCCCGGCCCGGAGAGUACCCGGAGAAAAAGCAUCGGCUAACUCCGUGCCAGCAGCCGCGGUAAUACGGAGGAUGCGAGCGUUAUCCGGAUUUAUUGGGUUUAAGGGGUGCGUAGGCGGGCUUUUAAGUCAGCGGUAAAAAUUCGGGGCUCAACCCCGUCCGGCCGUUGAAACUGGGGGCCUUGAGUGGGCGAGAAGAAGGCGGAAUGCGUGGUGUAGCGGUGAAAUGCAUAGAUAUCACGCAGAACCCCGAUUGCGAAGGCAGCCUUCCGGCGCCCUACUGACGCUGAGGCACGAAAGUGCGGGGAUCGAACAGGAUUAGAUACCCUGGUAGUC
RNAcentral lists this ribosomal RNA (460 nucleotides) under uncultured bacterium. Its description in RNAcentral is "partial 16S ribosomal RNA". It matches the Rfam family "Bacterial small subunit ribosomal RNA", at positions 338 to 795 of the family's 1533-position model. The record is from RNAcentral.